Molecule: ribosomal RNA, 438 nt
Filed under: uncultured bacterium
Lineage: Bacteria
Description: partial 16S ribosomal RNA
Rfam family: Bacterial small subunit ribosomal RNA
Source: RNAcentral
CUACGGGGUGCACCAGUGAGGAAUAUUGCACAAUGGGGGAAACCCUGAUGCAGCAACGCCGCGUGGAGGAUGACGCAUUUCGGUGUGUAAACUCCUUUUAUCAGAGAAGAAAAUGACGGUAUCUGAUGAAUAAGCUCCGGCUAACUCCGUGCCAGCAGCCGCGGUAAUACGGAGGGAGCAAGCGUUAUUCGGAAUCACUGGGCGUAAAGGACGCGUAGGCGGGUUUUUAAGUCAGGUGUGAAAUCCUAUGGCUCAACCAUAGAACUGCACUUGAAACUGGGGACCUAGAGUAUGGAGGGGCAGGUGGAAUUAGUGGUGUAGGGGUAAAAUCCGUAGAUAUCACUAGGAAUACCGAAAGCGAAGGCGACCUGCUGGGACAUUACUGACGCUGAGGCGUGAAAGCGUGGGGAGCAAACAGGAUUAGAUACCCUGGUAGUC